RNAcentral lists this long non-coding RNA (381 nucleotides) under Populus trichocarpa (black cottonwood). RNAcentral describes it as "long non-coding RNA (PTRI_LNC004769)". The record is from RNAcentral. Lineage: Eukaryota; Viridiplantae; Streptophyta; Magnoliopsida; Malpighiales; Salicaceae.
UUUGGGAGUAAUUUGUUAUUAUUCACUGUUAAUAUUUGGAUAAAGAAACCCGGAGUGGUAAAUAUCCAAAAUAAUUUUCUAGGAAUAAUAAAUCCGCACACAUCCUAGGAAACUGAUGGGAUUAGAGAACAUCAACACCAUUAAUAAUUGAAGGAAAAUCAAACACCAAGCAGCUUACCUUAGGUAGGGCGUACUAGGGGUGCUAAAACCUUCCCUUUACGCAACCAGUCCCUUGCCUUAGAAUCUCUGAAAGACCAGUUAGGUUUCCUAGUGACCAUAAUACUAGGUGGCGACUCCCUUUUUCACAACAGAAAGACCCCAACAAUCAAUCCCCGCUACGAAGGACGGGUCGCCGCGACGUCGAGCUCUCGGGAGGGUGCG